This is a long non-coding RNA of Xiphophorus hellerii (green swordtail), 326 nucleotides long. RefSeq lists it as uncharacterized. The transcript is spliced from 2 exons. The record is from RefSeq and is a predicted model, not a curated record. NCBI's taxonomy places the organism in Eukaryota, Metazoa, Chordata, Actinopteri, Cyprinodontiformes, Poeciliidae.
UUUAUUAGUGUUUGGUACACUUUAAAAAAUAGCUUGCGGGAAGCUUUGGAAAUGGCCUGCGGUAGGCUUUAGGAAUCAAGUAUUAGUGUGGGGUACACUUUAAAAUAAUCUGAGGUAGAUUUUGAGAGAUAAUCUGAGGUAGAUUUUGAGAAAUAGUCUGAGGUAGACUGUUAAGGAAUCAAGUACGAUAGUCUGCGGUAGACUUUAAAAUAGUUUGCGGGAAGCUACAAGAGCUUGCGGGCUUUGUCGGUAGUGUGUGGUACACUUUAAAAUAGUUUGCGGGACGCUUUGGAACAUAGUCUGCGGUAGGCUUUAGAUUUUGAAAA